Molecule: ribosomal RNA, 328 nt
Filed under: uncultured bacterium
Lineage: Bacteria
Description: bacterial SSU rRNA
Rfam family: Bacterial small subunit ribosomal RNA
Source: RNAcentral
GGGCCCGCACAAGCGGUGGAGCAUGUGGUUUAAUUCGAUGCAACGCGAAGAACCUUACCAGGGCUUGACAUGCUACAAAUCUUUUAGAGAUAGAAGAGUGCUUUCGAGAAUGUAGAUACAGGUGGUGCAUGGCUGUCGUCAGCUCGUGUCGUGAGAUGUUGGUUAAGUCCCGCAACGAGCGCAACCCUCGUUUUUAGUUGCCAGCAUUUAGUUGGGCACUCUAAAGAAACUGCCCGUGAUAAGCGGGAGGAAGGUGUGGAUGACGUCAAGUCCUCAUGGCCCUUACGGGUUGGGCUACACACGUGCUACAAUGGCAGUGACAAUGGGU